GAUGAACGCUAGCUGCAGGCUUAACACAUGCAAGUCGAGGGACCGGCGCACGGGUGAGUAACACGUAUCCCACCUGCCCUUUACUCGGGGAUAGCCUUUCGAAAGAAAGAUUAAUACCCGAUGUAAAGGAUGGGGAUGCGUUCCAUUAGGUUGUUGGUGAGGUAACGGCUCACCAAGCCUUCGAUGGAUAGGGGUUCUGAGAGGAAGGUCCCCCACAUUGGAACUGAGACACGGUCCAAAAUCCUACGGGAUGCAGCAGUGAGGUAUAUUGGUCAAUGUGCGUUAGCCUGAACCAGCCAAGUAGCGUGAAGGAUGAAGGCUUAUUGGUCGUAAACUUCUUUUAUAGAAGAAUCUGUAUUAUAUGAAUAAGGAUCGGCUAACUCCGUGCCAGCAGCCGCGGUAAUUC
This 406-nucleotide ribosomal RNA is filed under the name uncultured bacterium. RNAcentral's name for it is "partial 16S ribosomal RNA". It matches the Rfam family "Bacterial small subunit ribosomal RNA", at positions 28 to 526 of the family's 1533-position model. The record is from RNAcentral.